RNAcentral lists this ribosomal RNA (497 nucleotides) under uncultured bacterium. RNAcentral describes it as "partial 16S ribosomal RNA". It matches the Rfam family "Bacterial small subunit ribosomal RNA", at positions 28 to 507 of the family's 1533-position model. The record is from RNAcentral.
GAUGAACGCUGGCGGCGUGCCUAAUACAUGCAAGUCGAGCGAACGGACGCGAAGCUUGCUUCUCUCACGUUAGCGGCGGACGGGUGAGUAACACGUGUAUAACCUCCCUAUAAGACUGGGAUAACCUCGGGAAACCGGAGCUAAUACCGGAUAAUAUUUUGAACCGCAUGGUUCAAAAGUGAAAGACGGUCUUGCUGUCACUUAUAGAUGGUUCCGCGCUGCAUUAGCUAGUUGUUAAGGUAACGGCCUACCACGGCAACGAUGCGUAGCCGACCUGAGAGACUGAUAGGCGACACUAGAGCUUGACCACGGUCAAGACUACUGCGAGACGCAGCAGAAUGGAAUCUUACGCAGUAGGCGAGAGCCUGACGGAGCAAGGCCGCGUGAGAUAUGGCGGCGUUCGGUGCGUAAAGCUCUGUUAUUAGGGGAAAACAUAUGUGUCAGUAAAUGUGCACAUCGUGACGGUACCUAAUAAGAAAGCCACGGCUAACUACGUG